Perca fluviatilis (European perch) is the source of this 193-nucleotide long non-coding RNA. RefSeq lists it as uncharacterized. Lineage: Eukaryota; Metazoa; Chordata; Actinopteri; Perciformes; Percidae. The transcript has 3 exons. The record is from RefSeq and is a predicted model, not a curated record.
CUUCAGUUGGUUCAGUCCCAUUGAUCUGAAUGAAUGAGAGACUCCGCAGCAACGCAUUCCUCUCCUCUGGAUCCCUUCUGCAGAGAUGAAGAUGAAGAUAAUGAUGAAGAUGAUGAAGUUUGUGGUGUUGUUGCUGCUGAUGGAGCGAGCUGCAGCUCAGCAGAGAGGGCUGUUCCCGGCCAUUCUGAACCUG